This 513-nucleotide ribosomal RNA is filed under the name uncultured Glomus. RNAcentral describes it as "SSU rRNA". It matches the Rfam family "Eukaryotic small subunit ribosomal RNA", at positions 569 to 1084 of the family's 1831-position model. The record is from RNAcentral. Lineage: Eukaryota; Fungi; Glomeromycota; Glomeromycetes; Glomerales; Glomeraceae.
AGCAGCCGCGGUAAUUCCAGCUCCAAUAGCGUAUAUUAAAGUUGUUGCAGUUAAAAAGCUCGUAGUUGAAUUUCGGGAUCAGUUGAUCGGUCGUGCCUCGGUACGUACUGGUCAAAUUGAUUCCUACCUUCUGACGAACCACGAUGUCAUUAAUUUGGUGUCGCGGGAAAUCAGGACUGUUACUUUGAAAAAAUUAGAGUGUUUAAAGCAGGCUCGCGCUUGAAUACAUUAGCAUGGAAUAAUGAAAUAGGACGUUUGAUUCUAUUUUGUUGGUUUCUAGGAUCGACGUAAUGAUUAAUAGGGAUAGUUGGGGGCAUUAGUAUUCAAUUGUCAGAGGUGAAAUUCUUGGAUUUAUUGAAGACUAACUACUGCGAAAGCAUUUGCCAAGGAUGUUUUCAUUAAUCAAGAACGAAGUUAGGGGAUCGAAGACGAUCAGAUACCGUCGUAGUCUUAACCAUAAACUAUGCCGACUAGGGAUCGGAUGAUGUUAAUUUUUUAAUGUACUCAUUCGGC